CCUCUCUCUACUUCUCAGCUGCCAUGGGGUGAGCAGCUUUUAUCCACUAUGCCCUUUUCACCAUGCCAUUUCUGCCUUGGAGCCAGUUGACUACAGGCUGAACCUACUAAAAAUGACCAGCUUUCCCAGUGCUGAGGUCAUUGUCCAUUGAGGUCACUUUGAAAAGGCUGAGCAAGUCCUGUUAACAGCGCUUAUCUCCUCUUCUUCAGAAUCAGAAACAAGGCAUCCCAGCCUAUGCGUCAUCUGACAUGGAGAAGGACUGCAGGUUAGGUCCUGCUCAUCCACCUGGCAGAGGGAGGAUUCCAGGGGCACAAGACUCAUGAAGAUGAGACUCAAAACUGGCACACUGUCAUUUCUGCUACACUUGCAUUUGACCAAAGCAAAUUUACAAGGGUAACCCAGAUUCAAGGACUGCAGGAAAUAGAUU
Long non-coding RNA from Heterocephalus glaber (naked mole-rat), 427 nucleotides. Lineage: Eukaryota; Metazoa; Chordata; Mammalia; Rodentia; Bathyergidae. The record is from Ensembl.